Molecule: ribosomal RNA, 497 nt
Filed under: uncultured bacterium
Lineage: Bacteria
Description: partial 16S ribosomal RNA
Rfam family: Bacterial small subunit ribosomal RNA
Source: RNAcentral
GGGGGGGGGGGGGGGGGGGCCGGAUGCGUGGAGGGCGGGCGCACAGAGGAGGGGCUUGCUCCUCUGACGUUAGCGGCGGCCGGGUGAGGCACACGUGGAUAACCUACCUAUAAGACUGGGAUAACUUCGGGAAACAGGGGCUAAUACCGGAUAAUAUAUUGAACCGCAUUGUUCCAUAGUGAAAGCCGGUUUUGCUGUCACGUAUCGCUGUAUCCGCUCCGCAUUAGCUAGUUGGCAAGGGAACGGCUUACCAAGGCAACGAUGCGUAGCCGACAUGAGAGGGUGAUCGGCCACACUGGAACUGAGACACGGUCCAGACUCCUACGGGAGGCAGCAGUAGGGAAUCUUACGCAAUGGGCGAAAGCCUGACGGAGCAACGCCGCGUGAGUGAUGAAGGUCUUCGGAUCGUAAAACUCUGUUAUUAGGGAAGAACAAAUGUGUAAGUAACUAUGCACGUCUUGACGGUACCUAAUCAGAAAGCCACGGCUAACUACGUG